GGAGCAGCUCUCCAUCUGUGGCUCCAGCCCCCACCGAUUAACCAGAAAUAAGUCGCAUCCGUUAAGGGUGCUGCUAACUGGUGAACCCUUCACAUCCCUACUGCAGAGAGUGGGAAGGGGCGAAGGGCCCGUGAAAGAGUGAGCCAGCCCGGGACUGGAGAACGGGGCCUAGAAACAGGCUAAGAUGCAGCCUUGCGAGGACUAGUGAGCUGGAAAAAAUCGUUGGCCCAUCCUGACAUAGGAUGUACAACAGGCACUUUUAAGAUAGCAGAGAUGUUAUAAACUGCUAAGAGCCUGCAUUGAGAACUUGAAAAACCAGUAUCUUUCCUGCUAGAACCUGACAAACUCCGUCAGAGCAUCCAGACUUGUGAAAAGG
Non-coding RNA from Pelodiscus sinensis (Chinese soft-shelled turtle), 376 nucleotides. The record is from RefSeq and is a predicted model, not a curated record. NCBI's taxonomy places the organism in Eukaryota, Metazoa, Chordata, Testudines, Trionychidae.